GGAGCUUGCUCUGUGGGAUCAGUGGCGAACGGGUGAGUAACACGUGAGCAACCUGCCCCUGACUCUGGGAUAAGCGCUGGAAACGGCGUCUAAUACUGGAUACGAGUAGCGACCGCAUGGUCAGUUACUGGAAAGAUUUAUUGGUUGGGGAUGGGCUCGCGGCCUAUCAGCUUGUUGGUGAGGUAAUGGCUCACCAAGGCGUCGACGGGUAGCCGGCCUGAGAGGGUGACCGGCCACACUGGGACUGAGACACGGCCCAGACUCCUACGGGAGGCAGCAGUGGGGAAUAUUGCACAAUGGGCGCAAGCCUGAUGCAGCAACGCCGCGUGAGGGAUGACGGCCUUCGGGUUGUAAACCUCUUUUAGCAGGGAAGAAGCGAAAGUGACGGUACCUGCAGAAAAAGCGCCGGCUAACUACGUGCCAGCAGCCGCGGUAAUACGUAGGGCGCAAGCGUUAUCCGGAAUUAUUGGGCGUAAAGAGCUCGUAGGCGGUUUGUCGCGUCUGCUGUGAAAUCCGGAGGCUCAACCUCCGGCCUGCAGUGGGUACGGGCAGACUAGAGUGCGGUAGGGGAGAUUGGAAUUCCUGGUGUAGCGGUGGAAUGCGCAGAUAUCAGGAGGAACACCGAUGGCGAAGGCAGAUCUCUGGGCCGUAACUGACGCUGAGGAGCGAAAGGGUGGGGAGCAAACAGGCUUAGAUACCCUGGUAGUCCACCCCGUAAACGUUGGGAACUAGUUGUGGGGUCCAUUCCACGGAUUCCGUGACGCAGCUAACGCAUUAAGUUCCCCGCCUGGGGAGUACGGCCGCAAGGCUAAAACUCAAAGGAAUUGACGGGGACCCGCACAAGCGGCGGAGCAUGCGGAUUAAUUCGAUGCAACGCGAAGAACCUUACCAAGGCUUGACAUAUACGAGAACGGGCCAGAAAUGGUCAACUCUUUGGACACUCGUAAACAGGUGGUGCAUGGUUGUCGUCAGCUCGUGUCGUGAGAUGUUGGGUUAAGUCCCGCAACGAGCGCAACCCUCGUUCUAUGUUGCCAGCACGUAAUGGUGGGAACUCAUGGGAUACUGCCCG
RNAcentral lists this ribosomal RNA (1069 nucleotides) under Microbacterium phyllosphaerae. RNAcentral describes it as "bacterial SSU rRNA". It matches the Rfam family "Bacterial small subunit ribosomal RNA", at positions 75 to 1155 of the family's 1533-position model. Lineage: Bacteria; Bacillati; Actinomycetota; Actinomycetes; Micrococcales; Microbacteriaceae. The record is from RNAcentral.